Long non-coding RNA from Gorilla gorilla gorilla (western lowland gorilla), 2066 nucleotides. RefSeq lists it as uncharacterized. The record is from RefSeq and is a predicted model, not a curated record. NCBI's taxonomy places the organism in Eukaryota, Metazoa, Chordata, Mammalia, Primates, Hominidae. The transcript is spliced from 4 exons.
AGAUCCUCACAAACUAUUACAUGUAAAUGUGAGAGGCACCCAGUUUGGAUUCCAGACCAGAAGAAAUCCAGGAAUGGAUUUAAAAAGGAAAGCUGGUUCCCAUCUCCCUGGAGAAUUUAUCUUUAUUAAAGAUGCAAAGGAUCCAGUGGAGGUCUCUGAGGCCCUGGGAGAUGGUAGAGCCACACCAUGAAGGUGCCUGGGUCCCUGAAUGACUGCAUGGAGCUCACUCUACAUUGGACUGUGACACAAGCAAGAAAGGUAGACACUUAGGAGUGGAAUUGCUGAGUCAUACAGUAAUUCUAUGUUUAACAUUUUGAGGAACUGCCAAACUGUUUCCAAAAUGGCUGCAACAUUCUAUAUUUCCAUCAGCAAGAAGGGCCCAUGUGGCAAGGAACUAAGGGCAGUCUCUGGCCAAAAGCCCACAAGUAACUGAAUUCUGCCAAUAACCAUGAGUUUGGAAGUGGAUUCUUCCCCAUUCGAGUCUCAGAUGAGUCCCCAGCCCUGGCCAACAUCUUGAUGUGCUGUGAGAGACCAUUAAGCAGAGGACCCAGCUAAGCUCUGCCCAGAUGCUCAAUCCACAGAAAAAGAUACUAAGUGUGUGUUGUUUUAAGCUGCUACAUUUGCAGUGGUUUGAUAUGUAGCAAUAGAUAACUGAUACUGCUAUUAAUUGCUUUCUAUUACAAUCAACUGGAAUAACUGCCCUUGUGCAUACAAUCAGGGAUGUAUUUUGGGAUCAAUUCCCAGACCUGAGAUUGUUCAGUCUAAGGGUAAGGAUAUUUAAUGUGGAAAAAUAACACUAAAUUGUCCUCCAAAAAUAUUAUCAAGUGACAAUCAUGCAAACAGUAUGAAAGUUCCUACUUCUCUCCAUGUUCUUGCCAAAUGAAGUGUCAUUGAUCAUUGAAAAAAUAUCAGUUUGAGAAAAAUCAGUACUGCAUUGCUUUGAUUGCAUUUUCCUGAUCACUUAUCAGGGUGAGCAUCUUUUUAACGAAUCCCUUGGCCAUUUAUUUUCCUCUUUCUUCUGAGACUUCUCUCUUGAUAUUUUUAGCUUUUAUCCUAUUUUAAUUGGAUUUCAAUUGGAUUGAACAACUAGAAUGAUAGAAUGAUAUCUGGGGGGCACACAAUGGCCAUUGGUGAUGCUGCUGUUGAUUACCCAAAGUGCUAUCCCAUUUCUUCCUGUGUAUUUACUACUAUUUCUCUUGCAAUUAAUAAGCAAUUUAUAGGAAGAUUCUUUGAGACCAUUCAAAUAUCCUGCACCUAAUUAAAAUAUCCCCCUGGAUUUAGCAGCCUUUGAUGAUUCUUGCCUGAACAAAACUUUAUUAUGGUAGAUGUAAAAUGAAGAUUUUCAUUUCUAGCACUUCUUCCACAUUUACCAGCUACAUUCAGCCUUCUUGUGGAUAAGACUCUCCCCUUUCUCCCAAUUGUUUAUUGUUUUUAUUAGUAUGGACUCAACGAUUUCCUGUUCUUCUCAAUGGCCUAUAAUUUAUUACUAUCUUUAAUUAUAUUAGUGCUCAAAUUUUCCCAGUUUGGCCAGUGGGAUCCCCUCCAAGUUGGCUAUUAUUUCCUUGUGACAUACCACUUUUUCUUUCUUUCUCUUUCUUUUUCUUUCCUUUUAAAACUCACUUCUUUACUUCCUGCUCCAACCCUGGAAUCAGCCAUUUCUCUGAAAAACUGUGGUUCUUUCAAGUGGACAAAGGUAUUAGAUACCAAAAUUUGGGCACAAGAUAUGCACUUUAACAAGGACCCACUUUAAGUGCAGUUUAGUGAAUUUGAAUGAAUGCAUGAACUUCUGUAACUACUACCACAAUCAAGAUAUAGAGUUUCUGUCACCUAUCAAAGCCUCCUUUUCUUGCUUGCUCAUAUGCAAUUACCUCUGUCCAAAAUGACCCUUUUCCUUUCCUCUACACACUCGGCAAAGCCAUGAUUGAGCAUUUAUUCCUUCUUAGAUUUUUGUUCCAUUUUCCUCAGCAAAGGUUCUUGGUUUCCUCUUCUUCAUGCUCACAAAAUAGAGAGUAAAAGUGCUUGCUCAACAGUUCUUCAACUGCUCUAAUAAAGAUUGAUUCUCUUAC